Molecule: long non-coding RNA, 1086 nt
Filed under: Eutrema salsugineum
Lineage: Eukaryota; Viridiplantae; Streptophyta; Magnoliopsida; Brassicales; Brassicaceae
Description: long non-coding RNA (ESAL_LNC000452)
Source: RNAcentral
UCACCCGUCCGAGUCACUUCGCCCACUGUUUGCAUGCAACCCCGCAAACGGGUUAACCCGGACGCUCCGGUUCUGUCGGGUCAAUGUACCGGUCCACGUGAGGGUUCAAGAUUUGAUUGGACGGCUCACGUUGCAGGAGAAGAUCCGCCUCCUCGUUAACAAUGCUGCCGCCGUGCCACGCCUUGGUAUUGGAGGCUAUGAGUGGUGGUCGGAGGCUCUACACGGCGUUUCUGACGUCGGUCCCGGCGCUAAGUUCGGUGGUGCUUUUCCCGGUGCCACCAGCUUCCCUCAGGUCAUCACCACCGCAGCUUCUUUCAACCAGUCACUCUGGGAAGAGAUCGGACGGGUGAGAAUAAAUUAGAAAUUUUAAGAUAGAAAAUACAUUUUAGAAAAUGAGAAUAAUACUAAAUUUUGUGAUUUCCUACGUGAAAAAACGACAUCGAAAUCGACAUCGUAGCGGUCAAUACACUAGAGUUUGAUUAGUGGGACGCUCUAUAUUUAUAUAAUUUUUUUGAGAAACCUAUAUUUAUAUAAUUAUAUAUAUAUAUAUAUAUAUAUCUUGGAAAUUUAUAAUUCACAUGUUUUUUUAAUCUGACUAUGACAUGAUCAGUCUAUCGAAUAAGUCAGACAGGUAGGUUAUAAGAAAAUCCAAAACCAAUAUAUAUGGGGAAAUUUGAUUUUGUUACGUUUAUCUCGUUUUAUCUGCGAUAUUAAAGAAUUAAUACGAUGAUGGGGAAGCUUGCUAUAAGCUUAUAACCAGUAAAUAAAAGGCAACACUUUUUAUUAUGUGGUGUAUAUAUAUAUGGAAUGGAUGACAUCUAUUUCUUUCAACAAAAACAAAGUUGUAUGGAGGAUAUAUUAAUUAGAAUUAACAUGAUUUAAAAUAAAUAAAAGGUGGUGUCUGAUGAGGCAAGAGCUAUGUACAAUGGAGGCGUGGCCGGUUUGACGUAUUGGAGCCCAAAUGUGAAUAUACUGAGGGACCCACGGUGGGGGCGAGGCCAGGAAACUCCCGGAGAAGAUCCUGUCGUCGCCGGAAAAUACGCCGCCAGCUACGUCCGGGGACUUCAGGGCAACGGCGCCGGCAAC